This 141-nucleotide small nuclear RNA is filed under the name Aotus nancymaae (Ma's night monkey). RNAcentral describes it as "U4 spliceosomal RNA (ENSANAG00000007874.1)". It matches the Rfam family "U4 spliceosomal RNA". From Rfam's summary of the family: U4 small nuclear RNA (U4 snRNA) is a component of the major U2-dependent spliceosome. Lineage: Eukaryota; Metazoa; Chordata; Mammalia; Primates; Aotidae. The record is from Rfam by way of RNAcentral.
AGCUUUGCGCAGUGGCAGUAUCGUAGCCAAUGAGGUUUAUCCAAGGCGGGAUUAUUGCUAAUUGAAAACUUUUCCCAAUACCCCGCCAUGACGACUUGAAAUAUAGUCAGCAAUGGCAAUUUUUGACAGUCUCUACGGAGA